Physcomitrium patens is the source of this 72-nucleotide non-coding RNA. Lineage: Eukaryota; Viridiplantae; Streptophyta; Bryopsida; Funariales; Funariaceae. The record is from the annotation of a RefSeq genome assembly.
GGUCCUAUGGCCCAGUGGUUACGACUUUGGACUUUGAAUCCAAAUACCCGAGUUCAAAUCUCGGUGGGACCU